UUAAGUUCAGCGGGUAUUCCUACCUGAUCCGAGGUCAACCACGAUAUGAUUUUUGCGUCGAGGCGUGGCCGCGCCGCGUCCCAGGCUGCGAGGCGAUUGCUACUGCGCAGAGGGAGCCGCGGCGUGGCCGCCACUGGAUUUCGGGGGCGGCCGCCGACGUGGCGGGGCCGGUCCCCAACGCCACGCCCCGCGAGGGGGCG
This 200-nucleotide unclassified non-coding RNA is filed under the name Nectriaceae sp. Its description in RNAcentral is "partial internal transcribed spacer 2". The record is from RNAcentral. Lineage: Eukaryota; Fungi; Ascomycota; Sordariomycetes; Hypocreales; Nectriaceae.